This 253-nucleotide ribosomal RNA is filed under the name uncultured bacterium. Its description in RNAcentral is "partial 16S ribosomal RNA". It matches the Rfam family "Bacterial small subunit ribosomal RNA", at positions 524 to 776 of the family's 1533-position model. The record is from RNAcentral.
UACGUAAGAGGCAAGCGUUGUCCGGAAUCACUGGGCGUAAAGCGCGUGUAGGUGGUUAGGUAAGUCGGAUGUGAAAUCCCCGGGCUCAACCCGGGAACUGCGUCCGAAACUGCCUGACUCGAGAACAGGAGAGGAGAGUGGAAUUCCGGGUGUAGCGGUGAAAUGCGUAGAUAUCCGGAGGAACACCAGUGGCGAAGGCGGCUCUCUGGCCUGUUUCUGACACUGAGACGCGAAAGCGUGGGGAGCGAACGGG